Molecule: ribosomal RNA, 253 nt
Filed under: uncultured prokaryote
Description: partial 16S ribosomal RNA
Rfam family: Bacterial small subunit ribosomal RNA
Source: RNAcentral
GACAGAGGGGGCAAGCGUUGCUCGGAAUUACUGGGCGUAAAGGGCGCGUAGGCGGGAUGGCAAGUCGGUCGUGAAAUCCCCGGGCUCAACCUGGGAAUGGCGAUGGUGACUGCAAGGCUAGAGUUUGGCAGAGGGGGGUAGAAUUCCACGUGUAGCAGUGAAAUGCGUAGAUAUGUGGAGGAACACCGAUGGCGAAGGCAGCCCCCUGGGUCAAAACUGACGCUCAGGCACGAAAGCGUGGGGAGCAAACAGG